Molecule: ribosomal RNA, 497 nt
Filed under: uncultured bacterium
Lineage: Bacteria
Description: partial 16S ribosomal RNA
Rfam family: Bacterial small subunit ribosomal RNA
Source: RNAcentral
GACGAACGCUGGCGGCGUGCCUAAUACAUGCAAGUAGAACGCUGAAGAGAGGAGCUUGCUCUUCUUGGAUGAGUUGCAAACGGGUGAGUAACGCGUAGGUAACCUGCCUUGUAGCGGGGGAUAACUAUUGGAAACGAUAGCUAAUACCGCAUAACAAUGGAUGACCCAUGUCAUUUAUUUGAAAGGGGCAAAUGCUCCACUACAAGAUGGACCUGCGUUGUAUUAGCUAGUAGGUGAGGUAACGGCUCACCUAGGCGACGAUACAUAGCCGACCUGAGAGGGUGAUCGGCCACACUGGGACUGAGACACGGCCCAGACUCCUACGGGAGGCAGCAGUAGGGAAUCUUCGGCAAUGGGGGCAACCCUGACCGAGCAACGCCGCGUGAGUGAAGAAGGUUUUCGGAUCGUAAAGCUCUGUUGUAAGUCAAGAACGAGUGUGAGAGUGGAAAGUUCAUACUGUGACGGUAGCUUACCAGAAAGGGACGGCUAACUACGUG